This 882-nucleotide ribosomal RNA is filed under the name Salmonella enterica subsp. enterica serovar Infantis. RNAcentral's name for it is "partial 23S ribosomal RNA". It matches the Rfam family "Bacterial large subunit ribosomal RNA", at positions 2061 to 2925 of the family's 2925-position model. Lineage: Bacteria; Pseudomonadati; Pseudomonadota; Gammaproteobacteria; Enterobacterales; Enterobacteriaceae. RNAcentral also lists the same sequence under 3 other names. The record is from RNAcentral.
GCAGUGUACCCGCGGCAAGACGGAAAGACCCCGUGAACCUUUACUAUAGCUUGACACUGAACAUUGAGCCUUGAUGUGUAGGAUAGGUGGGAGGCUUUGAAGUGUGGACGCCAGUCUGCAUGGAGCCGACCUUGAAAUACCACCCUUUAAUGUUUGAUGUUCUAACGUGGACCCGUGAUCCGGGUUGCGGACAGUGUCUGGUGGGUAGUUUGACUGGGGCGGUCUCCUCCUAAAGAGUAACGGAGGAGCACGAAGGUUGGCUAAUCCUGGUCGGACAUCAGGAGGUUAGUGCAAUGGCAUAAGCCAGCUUGACUGCGAGCGUGACGGCGCGAGCAGGUGCGAAAGCAGGUCAUAGUGAUCCGGUGGUUCUGAAUGGAAGGGCCAUCGCUCAACGGAUAAAAGGUACUCCGGGGAUAACAGGCUGAUACCGCCCAAGAGUUCAUAUCGACGGCGGUGUUUGGCACCUCGAUGUCGGCUCAUCACAUCCUGGGGCUGAAGUAGGUCCCAAGGGUAUGGCUGUUCGCCAUUUAAAGUGGUACGCGAGCUGGGUUUAGAACGUCGUGAGACAGUUCGGUCCCUAUCUGCCGUGGGCGCUGGAGAACUGAGGGGGGCUGCUCCUAGUACGAGAGGACCGGAGUGGACGCAUCACUGGUGUUCGGGUUGUCAUGCCAAUGGCACUGCCCGGUAGCUAAAUGCGGAAGAGAUAAGUGCUGAAAGCAUCUAAGCACGAAACUUGCCCCGAGAUGAGUUCUCCCUGAGACUUAGAGUCUCCUGAAGGAACGUUGAAGACGACGACGUUGAUAGGCCGGGUGUGUAAGCGCAGCGAUGCGUUGAGCUAACCGGUACUAAUGAACCGUGAGGCUUAACCUUACAACGCCGAAG